Long non-coding RNA from Astatotilapia calliptera (eastern happy), 5805 nucleotides. The record is from Ensembl. Lineage: Eukaryota; Metazoa; Chordata; Actinopteri; Cichliformes; Cichlidae.
CAGGGUGAUAAAUCCGCUGUUUCGCUCACUUCCUGUCCGUCACACGGCCUUCUCCGUGGGCCUCACAGUGGUGUUCGUGGGACUGUGGACACAUCAAGGUAGAAAUAAUAAAGUCAUUCAGCCUCUUCCGCUGAAUCCUGAAACUGUGACGCUGGUUUGGUUUGAUGAGUCAUCUCUGCCGGGAGCCGAGGACCAAUCAGGAGUCCUGAUUCUGUCAGAAACUGACAAACCCGCCCCCCCGAGGUUUCUUCCUGUCAGAUGGGGGUUCUUCCUUUCCACUGUUGACUGUUUGUUGGGGUUUCUCUGUAUGACUGGAGGCUCUUUACCUUACAGCGUCUCACGGUGACUGUUGUGAUUUGACGAAUGUUGUAAUGAUUUUAAUGGUGAACAGACCUCAUCACACUUGAUUCAGCCAGACCUGAAACUGCGACAGAAAGCCACCAUCAAACCGUUCGUUCCAUACAGCCAGACCAGAGGAGUCGCCCCGUGGGGGUCCGGCAUGCUUCAGCUGGAGCUGUGCUCGGCACCGUGCAGCUCCAUGCGUUGGGUCCUCGUCUCCACAGGUGGGGAUGUACCACAGGUGGCAGAGAGCAGUGGUCUGUGGACACCACCUGGGAACCCUGCUGCUGCACCUGUGCAGGUGAGAUGAGUGCUCUCUGCUUGGACAGACUGAGUGUGGGUUGUGCUGUGACUGUGUGAGGUGGUGACUGCUGCAGAGCAACAGGAAGUUAAAGAGAUUCACCAGGAUGGCUGAGGGAGGGGUGGAGGGAGGAGAAGAGGUGUCAGAUAAUGAGGAGUGACCGUGUUUGAGUGUGAGCGCAGAGAGCCCGCCGAGGGCGACACACAGCAACGCCGUCACCUCCAUCCUCCACCACCAUGCCAGAGCUCACGGUCCCGGAUUUAUCCGUGUGAUGUGAGGAGCCUCGGUAUAAGCAAACUAAGUGACGGUUGUGGAUCCUGCAGGUCAGCAAACCCACCCUGAACCACCAUGACCAGUGUCAACUCUCCAGCCUGCGUGCUCGCCCGAAACCACUUCUACCGAAGUGUGUUGGCGUGUUGGCGUGCAUGCGUCCUGGUCGUGCUCAGAAUAAAGAUAACUGCAAACAAACAUCUUCUGGAAAUUUUCUGCACCAGUUCAUCCUGUUAUACAACGACAAACCAGCAGCAACAACGGCUCUUCUGAUUGGCUGCCUCUCUCGAGCUGCAGGUGUGAUGAAGUGUUCAGAGCCACCUGAGCUCAUCAUCAGAAACUUUGUGUUUAACGUCAGGAAAUGAGCAAAGCAGAAGAAGAGCAGGUGUGCAUCAACAUUCACUCAGUCAUGUGUCACGGGUUAAAAAACAGUCGAGGGUAACGAGGGUAACGUUCGCCUGAGGCAGCAGGACGGACGCUUUGCUCCUCUGCAGCAGUGUGUUUGGAUCAGUGAGCAGAGAGAAAACAUCCACACUGAGCAUGCUCAGCCGCUUCGACGCCACAUGAGUCAGAGCGCGGGUCCACGUUGUUCGCCUGGGUCACGGGGUGACGAUGACAGCCGUGGGUCUACCGCCGAGUCCAGAACCCACCAAGCCCGCACGCGGCUGUCAGGACAAGCAGAGACUGCCCACGCUUUGGGUUACCGUGGAAACAGCUCCAGGACUGCCGGGUCUCGUGGGAACCAAAGGAUUAUGGGUCAGCAUCAUCCUCAGCGCUUCUUCCUCCUCCUCCACCUCCAAACCAAGCAACCACAGAGCCAAGUAGAUGAAACAAGCGCACCUCACCCUGCAGGUCGUUCCUGUGAACGUCCACUCUUAAUAACAGGGCGGCGAUCCCCUGGGGACAAGCUCCUCCCCCGACUUCACCGUAGAAGGAAACGAACCACAUGUCGUGUCCAAAUUCAUGGGCUGCAUCCUCUUGAGGACCCGGCCUUCGCGGUCUACAUGGGCCGGGUCCUCAGAAGAUCGGGUAGGCCGGAAGUACGAGGUUGGGGAAAUUGGACGGUCCAGCCUUCUGAUUAGCGUCACCACUGCCUCGGUGGAGUUUAAUAAACUCGGCCGUCUGCUCCUUGCUAUCUAAAAUAUAACAGGACACUGGAGGAAACUCUCGACCGUCUCACACGUCUGUUUAAUCAGUUUUCUGUUUGACGUUUAUUCAGCUGUGUGAAAACCACCCGGGGGAUUAAUAAAGUUUUAUUUUAUCUAAACUAAUAACUUUGAUCUCAGCCAAACCGAUUUACUCACGAACAAACAAAACACUGAAAAAAGCCCAACAACAACAUUUUAGGUUGUCUAAGUGAAUUAUAUAUCCCGUUUAACCUGAGUAGUGAAACUCCGCGGUGAUCUGAAAAUGAUGUGCCGGAGUUGUGCCGUUCUCGGCCGCAUCGGUGACCCUCGAGCUCCCGGCUAGCUGUCGAGCUGGUGGGUAAAAGAUGUCUCUGAAAACGUCGAAGCACUUUUGCAAAUAUGCGAUAUCUUGAUAAACUGAGCAGAUAUUUGAAGUUUACACAGCUGAAAAUAUGUUCAAAGUUUAUUUUGUGACCCAGAAAGAUUAAUAAGAGUAAUUUUAAAACUUAGUGGCGGCUGCCAUCGUUGGAAACUGGAGUUUGGCUGGGCCGCGCUAUGAAUUCUGGGAUAUCGUGGGCCACGAAAGACACACCCGACCCCAAAUUCGUGGAAAAGGAGGACGCAUUUGUCGGCUGCAUUCAGAGGAGUCUACGAAUUUGGACAGCCUUCAUCGUGUCGCUGUGACGUAAUCGGUCCACAAAUGCGGCCUCAGGAGGACGCAGCCCAUGAAUUUGGACACGUCCACUGAGUGACCCUCCAGAACCAGGAGCAGGGCAUGGCUAAAAGAUGGGCGUGGUCUGAAAAAUGGUUCCUCAAACCAAAGAGUGAACUCGUUCCUGAUUGGUUUAUGGUUUUGUCGCUGUUUACAGGUCUCAGUGAAUAAAAUGUGAAAUUGGUGAAGUGAUGGUGAUGUUAGAGCAGGGCGCCCGGAUGAAGAGCCCCACACGGCCACAGAAGCUCGUCUCACUUCCUGUUUUAGUUCCUGUGAUAUUUGAGGCCACAUGUGCAAACUGUGACGAGGGCUUUAAUCUACACGUUCUGACUGCAUGUGUGACGAUUAUCACACUAAUUCCACACGCGUGAAUCUGCAGGUAAUUUAUAAAUCCAGUGACAGGUGUCUACAGGUAUGCACAGACAGGUAGACAUUUCCCCGUCGCAUCGGGUUGACGCUGAUAUUUCAUCAGGUAUUCGGCCUCCGGUGUGAGCUUUACGUCUCAAUCUGCUUCAACAAUGAAAUCAAAUAAAGUGCAACAGCUGAGCGAGCUUUCACCAGGUGUGCCGCACCUCUGUGUUGUGGAAAUGACAGUCUUCACUAGUGGGGAUAGUUACAAAGCUUUCUUCAUUAUGAAUUAGCAUACAUGUUUUUAUUGAACAUUUGAAGAACCAGCAAAAAAAACCCCAGAAACUCUUGUAGAGGACAAAGUCCGAGAUAGAAACGACACGGAGCAGGUGCAUCUAGUGCAGGUAAAACCCCACAGAGCUCAGCAGCCAGCGCAGCAAAUUCUGGAUCCUUGUCUUUUAGUGACUCACACUGAGGCUACGUCCACACGUACCCGGGUAUUUUUGAAAACGCAGAUUUUUCUAUGCGUUUGCACCUCCCGUCCACACGUAAACGGCGUUUUCGGUGACUGAAAACGGAGAUUUCUAAAAACUCCGGCCAGGGUGGAUAUUUAGAAACUCAGUUUUUGUAUUUACGUGUGGACGAGAAAACACAGCGUCAAAGAUGUGCGCCUUUUUUGAGGUCACACUGUGCGCCACGUUAUUGUUUAGGUGAAAUGAAUUUCUACAAUACUGUUAAUUCUACUCUCUGCAGUGUUUAAAUGCUUACAUAUACACACAGUUACUGUCCCUCCACACAUACGACUCGGUUCUGCUUCUAUGCCCCAGCUUUGUUUACUUUUUCCCACCGAGGCUUCUAGACUUCUGAUUGGCCAACAUUUCUACACGGUUAGGAAUCUAGCGCCACCUGCUGCUUUGGCAUGUUCCUAGCAGCGUUUUCCUUCUUUUCUGCGUUUACAUGUGGACGGGAUUAUUUUUUAAAACGAAAACGGAAAAUCUCAGCUUUCAAAAACACCUGUGUACGUGUGGACGUAGCCUGUGACCAGAGGUGGGACCAAGUCAUUGUUUUGCAAGUCUCAAGUAAGUCUCAAGUAAGUCUCAAGUCUUUAUCCUCAAGUCUCAAGUCAAGUCUCAAGUAAUGUCAGGCAAGUCAGAGUCGAGUCUCAAGUCUGAAACUUUGAAUUUCAAGUCCUUUCGAGUCUUUAAAAAAAAACAAAACGAAAAAAGCAUGUUGCAGUUAUGCUAAAUGUAAAUAUUAGACCAUGUAAUUUUAAAAGCUGUGUUUUUCUCAACACAUGACAAAAUAGUGAACUUAGAAAAUAUACACAAAUUGUGAAAUUGCACCUCUUUAAAAUGCAGCUCAAUUAAACCUAGCUCCAAGAAUAAUUUUCACCGACAGUUCUGAGAUAAGCUGCAUGUUAUUCUUGGAUGCGCUUGUAGGACCGGCUUUAAAAUCGCAUGACAAAAAUAUCAUACACAUUAAAAAAACUGCAUCACCAACGUAGCCUGGACAACAUUUGCUAGUUAGAUGAAGUCAGCUAUCUCAUCGUAGCAUAUUUAUAUGCAUAUUUAUAAUUAUACGGUUCUUGGAGUGAGUGCAUACACUCAUGAAGUUUAGUAACUUCAGGUCACUGCAACAAGCCCAGGUACAGUUUACCGACGGAUGGGUGCAGGACCUUGAAAUGCACCGUGUCGAACGAAAGACCAUCGUACGUAUCAUAAGUUUACCAGUCUCACAAAUCGUCAUCAUAAAUACACAUUCAUUAACCGUUUAUUAAUAGGACCUUUGAGAUCAACGGUAAUUAAUUAGUAGUGGAAAUAAUUUCUGGUACCUGAAGGAAACGGUUUCCAGGGCCUAAUCCGUGGAUCGACUUCCUUCGAGGCGUGGACGUCUAUCAGCAGAGAAUGUCCCUUAGUCUGUAACACAGUCAAAUAUAUUCUCAAGUAAUAUUCAAGCAUGCCAUUCAGUGUGUUAGUACGAGCUCGGGAGCAGCUUGGGAGAACAAGAAAACAGAGACUGCUUUAGAUUGUCUUCCCAAAGUGACUCAACUUUAUUCACAAGUACAACAGUUUAUAUAGAGGGUAAAAUUCAUGAGACAGCAGAUUUAUCAGUUUAAACCAGUACAGACCAAGAUAAGGCAGUGUCUUCCUGCCCUUGGGUGAAGAAGCAUCCUUUGUGUAGUGUAUCAGUUCAGCUACAAUUGUGAUUAUCUCAGCGACAUAUUUUCAAGGCACAAAACGAAGAGUUCUUUCAUUAGUGAAAUCUGAAACAAACCAUUUGGCCUUCAACAGGCGUCUAAAAGAUUAAGAAACUAAUGUAGCUGAGGGAGUGAUCUCUGUGGUAUUUCAACCUUGUACCAGCCUGUGAUUCUCACACAUCAAUUCUUGGGUCAAAGAGAAAAAUAACUAAAACAAAGGGGCCUUAUUGAAUGACAGAGUUUUCCUGUAUAAUGUCACUAUAAAACAAUAUCCAGUAAAUGCUCCCAUGGUACUAAAAUACCUAACAGUACCCAUCACAGAAAUGUAGCAGUGACAAUAAUAUUGUAUGCUGUAAUCGUACUGGGCAAUUAGUGAUACAAAAAACCUGUUUUAUCCUGUGAAUAAAAGUAUAUGUGUUUGUCAAUGUACCAUAAUAACAGAAGCGAAACGCAAUAUUGUGUCAGGACAAUUCACUAUUUAUGCACAAUAAAUAAAGGAGCAUAGCGCGAC